Agrilus planipennis (emerald ash borer) is the source of this 187-nucleotide non-coding RNA. The record is from Rfam. NCBI's taxonomy places the organism in Eukaryota, Metazoa, Arthropoda, Insecta, Coleoptera, Buprestidae.
AUAUAAAAACCACAAUUACCUAAUACACAAAUACAUACGGCUGAAGAGGACCUUCAUUGGUCCUAGAACGGCCUGAGGUAGAGGGGUUUUAGUCGGUAGGUCCGAGGACUCCUUCCUCAGGAAUCCGACACUACCCAGUCGUACGGACGGUUGGGUGUCUUUUGAAGAUUUCCUCUCUUCCACGAAA